This 561-nucleotide ribosomal RNA is filed under the name uncultured Glomus. Its description in RNAcentral is "SSU rRNA". It matches the Rfam family "Eukaryotic small subunit ribosomal RNA", at positions 548 to 1103 of the family's 1831-position model. The record is from RNAcentral. Lineage: Eukaryota; Fungi; Glomeromycota; Glomeromycetes; Glomerales; Glomeraceae.
UUGGAGGGCAAGUCUGGUGCCAGCAGCCGCGGUAAUUCCAGCUCCAAUAGCGUAUAUUAAAGUUGUUGCAGUUAAAAAGCUCGUAGUUGAAUUUCGGGAUUGGCGCAUCGGUCGUGCCUCACGGGGUAUGAACUGGUACAGUCAAUUUCUCACCUUCUGGAGAACCGCGAUGUCCUUAAUUGGAUGCCGCGGGGAACCAGGACCUUUACUUUGAAAAAAUUAGAGUGUUUAAAGCAGGCAUUUUUGCUUGAAUACAUUAGCAUGGAAUAAUAAAAUAGGACGGCAUGGUUCUAUUUUGUUGGUUUCUAGGACCACCGUAAUGAUUAAUAGGGAUAGUUGGGGGCAUUAGUAUUCAAUUGUCAGAGGUGAAAUUCUUGGAUUUAUUGAAGACUAACUACUGCGAAAGCAUUUGCCAAGGAUGUUUUCAUUAAUCAAGAACGAAAGUUAGGGGAUCGAAGACGAUCAGAUACCGUCGUAGUCUUAACCAUAAACUAUGCCGACUAGGAAUCAGACGAUGUUAAUUUUUUAAUGACUCGUUUGGCACCUUACGGGAAACCAAAG